RNAcentral lists this ribosomal RNA (505 nucleotides) under uncultured bacterium. Its description in RNAcentral is "bacterial SSU rRNA". It matches the Rfam family "Bacterial small subunit ribosomal RNA", at positions 28 to 529 of the family's 1533-position model. The record is from RNAcentral.
GACGAACGCUGGCGGCGUGGAUUAGGCAUGCAAGUCGAACGGUAACAGGUCUUCGGAUGCUGACGAGUGGCGAACGGGUGAGUAAUACAUCGGAACGUGCCCGAUCGUGGGGGAUAACGGAGCGAAAGCUUUGCUAAUACCGCAUACGAUCUACGGAUGAAAGCAGGGGACCGCAAGGCCUUGCGCGGACGGAGCGGCCGAUGGCAGAUUAGGUAGUUGGUGGGAUAAAAGCUUACCAAGCCGACGAUCUGUAGCUGGUCCGAGAGGACGACCAGCCACACUGGGACUGAGACACGGCCCAGACUCCUACGGGAGGCAGCAGUGGGGAAUUUUGGACAAUGGGCGCAAGCCUGAUCCAGCCAUGCCGCGUGCAGGAUGAAGGCCUUCGGGUUGUAACUAGCUUUGUACGGAACGAAAGAACUACUUUCUAAUAAAGAAGGUCCAUGACGGUACCGUAACGAAUAAGACACCGGCUAACUACGUGCCAGCAGCCGCGGUAAUCAUA